Long non-coding RNA from Dreissena polymorpha, 2653 nucleotides. RefSeq lists it as uncharacterized. The record is from RefSeq and is a predicted model, not a curated record. NCBI's taxonomy places the organism in Eukaryota, Metazoa, Mollusca, Bivalvia, Myida, Dreissenidae. The transcript has 3 exons.
AUCGCCUUUGUAACUGUGUCUUCGGUGUUUGGAGUUGUUGUAGCAGCUGUAAUAGUAUUAAGUGUGCUGAUCAUCAGAAGGAAACAUCCCCAAUUUGUUGGAGAAACUCGUGCUAAUAGAGAGUCGUCUUCUCACGAAACGUACGACGACUUGUCGCCAAAUUCAACGAACCCUAACUUCUAUGACGACCUGCAAAUGUCAUGAACACAGAAGAACAACAGUAUUAUACAACUGUAUACAAAAUGGACAGUGCACAAACAAGGGAAACUAAUUAUUAUCAGCCCAAGGUGACGAAGACAGCACUGAGCAGCUGAAAACCUGACGAACAUACACAGUCGAUAAAGAACAAUUGAUACCCAUGCGGAGAAAGCUAACAUUUCAAUGCGUACAUCUGAAAUUAGGAUCUAAGUCCCCACAUGACACAAUCAUAGACAUACGAUGGCAACACAGCAACCAACAAUGGAUCAAGUGUCAUGUGAAAAUGCCUUCACGUUUGCGUUCAAAAAUCAACUAAAAAAUGUUCUCUUGUUCUAUAAUCAUACCGAUCAUCAAGGUAACUUUACCUAUCUGAUUUUAUUAAUGUUGAAUAACUACGGUAAAAUAAAAGAUACUGCACUAAUUUACUUAUUUAAUUAUACAAAUCUAGCACAACUAUGGUAUGAUGAACUUGUAUCACGGUUGAUGUAUAUUGCAGUAUCGUCUUGUUGAGUUCAUACGCCAUUUUUACAAUCAGUGACAUCUACAGAAACAGGUUUAUUUUUCUAUGCUUCUUGUUAUCCACUUAAUAAAGAUAAUACUAAACAGCAUAAACAGAAACUGAACAUUAUAUACACUUUGUACAUAGGUAGUAUUGGAAUCACACAAAUAUGUUAAAAUUUAUCAAAAUCUUACAAACUGACAACGCAAAAACAAUAAGAAAUAUUGCAACAUUUAUUUUUAAAGCAGCUAAAUUGAUGAAUGAAUUGUAUUUUCAAUAGUUUCGCUCCGUAUAUUACUGUCUAUUUGUAGCCAUAGCAAUACAAGCGAUGUGUAUACACAUUCUUAGAACAUUCAAGUUUAUUUGAAUAAGAUACGACUCUACAAUAUGCAUAUACAUCCUUAAAUUAGUACGUUACUGUACAAUGUGUUAUAAAUAUAUAUACAUGUUAAAAAAUGCUAUUUAUUUUCAAUAUGCAUGUCUUGAGAGUUGUGCAUUCCUUUUAUUGUUAAUUCUAAAGUUAUAUUGCUUAAAUUAUAUAUGUAUAUGCCUGUAUGUCAUUACACAUUGUUGACUACAUUGAUGAUUGUGUGUUAAAUGUAUGUGUAAUCAUUGGCUUCAAUCCUAAUGUAUUCUGAAAUUAAACCAUAAAACCAUAUCUUAUAACAUAAUAUGACAAUUUAAAUACCAUAUUAGUACAGGUUGAUUGCUGAAAGAAUGCCAAUAUUUUUUUUUCGAUGUAUGUACAAACAAAGAGUAAACCCAGUUAAUUGUGUGUGAUCAUAAUUAUGGUGUGUACAUAUUCAUAGUCUACAUUCAAAAGUUUACCAUAUGGCAUUAUCUAUGAGGCUAUGUAUUUAGAAAUAUAUAUCAAUCUUGUUUGGGACAAACUUGUUGACAGAUAAUGUCACCAAUAAGUGCCUCUUAUUUGCGCUCAAAGUUAUAUAAGUAAUGUUAUUUGUUAAUAAGAAUAUGUUUACAAUUUAUUCAUAGUAAUAUGUUAUACAAUGUUGAAUAUAAUUUAUCAAAAUACUUAUGUUAAAUAUAUACAUUUACAUUGAAUAGCCUAACAUUAAACUAAUCAAACCAAUCAAAAUAAGUGCUGACCGUAUUCAGUAUCCCGUAUCAAAUUGUGUCAAGUGCGUGUACGUUUAGUGUAUGUAUAAUGAUGAAAUGGUAGCAUUCAUAAUUUAUUUAAUGAUUGUACAUAUAUUAUAAUUUUGUUGAUUCUAGUUCGUUAAUUGUAGUUUCAUAGAGUGAUUAUUAUCAAUUAGUUUUCAUAACCAGUGUUAAUGCUUGCCAGGCUCCCUUAUUGGGUGAAUGAAUUAAAUUGGUAGUAUUUUAAAGAUAUUUAAUAUGUUAUCGAGUGUUGAUAAUUUGUGUGAAUCAUUGAGUGUUUGACUAAAUAUAUAAAGCGGCUGAAGAUAACAUAACACAUAAUAAUUCUGAAUAAAUAAAUUCUUCGCCAAUAAAAUAAGCAUAACGCGUAUUACUACUACUACAGUUUGAUUUUCCUUUUUUGGGAAUACUUAAGAAGAAAUUUGUAAACAGAAUAUGACGUAUUGAUAAUUUUUUAGUAAACAAAUACAAAAUAUUUGUGUGUACAAGACGAUCUGCUAUAUUCCAAUAUGUAAUUCUUCACUUUUUGUUGAUGUUUGUAAACAUGUUAUCGUAUCAUUGUUUUGUGUGUAUAUUAUUACUGUUUGUGUGUGUGUAUCAGGCCAGGUGUAUGUGCCUGUACGUGUUUGAGCUCUUGACACUUAGACUUCAAUGUGAAUGAAUACCAUCGAGUGAGCUAAAUUAAGUGGUCGUGAGUAUGGUCGGCCUUACGUGUUGAAUUUCUUCUGCAAAUGUUCUUUGCUCUUCAUAUCUGUUCAUUGAUACCUGUUAUUUAUCCUACAUCUACAUUCAAAACAAAAGCAAUAUUCUCAUUCUACAUAAAAUGAAUAACUAAGG